CCAGUGANAAAGUGNAGGAAGGNGGGGAGGANGNCAAGUCAUCAUGGCCCUUAACGAGCCAGGACUACACACGUGCUACAAUGGUGGGGUACAAAGGGUAGCUACACAGCGAUGUGAUGCUAAUCUCAAAAAGCCGAUCGUAGUCCGGAUUGGAGUCUGCAACUCGACUCCAUGAAGUCGGAAUCGCUAGUAAUCGCGGAUCAGAAUGCCGCGGUGAAUACGUUCCCGGGCCUUGUACACACCGCCCGUACACACCAUGGGAGUUUGUUGCACCAGAAGUAGGUAGUCUAACCGCAAGGAGGACGCUUACCACGGUGUGGCCG
RNAcentral lists this ribosomal RNA (323 nucleotides) under Acinetobacter sp. HPC151. RNAcentral's name for it is "bacterial SSU rRNA". It matches the Rfam family "Bacterial small subunit ribosomal RNA", at positions 1152 to 1470 of the family's 1533-position model. Lineage: Bacteria; Pseudomonadati; Pseudomonadota; Gammaproteobacteria; Moraxellales; Moraxellaceae. The record is from RNAcentral.